UUAGUCUUUUAAUUGGGGACUGGAAUGAAAGGGUAAACUGGAAAAACUUUUUUUGGGGUGAGGGAAUGAAGUUGGCUUUUUAGUAAGAAGACUAAAAUAAUUCUUUAAGACGAGAAGACCCUAUAAAACUUUAUAUUUAAUUUCUUUUAAAAGAGAGCGUAAAUAUUUUACUGGGGCGGUAGGGAAAAGAUCUUUUCUUGAAUUUUAAAACUUUUAAGUUUUUAUAUCUAAAAUUUUUAAAAGAAGAAUAAGUUACUUUAGGGAUAACAGCUUAAUUGACUUUGAAAGUUCUAAUUGACAAGUGAGUUUGUGACCUCGAUGUUGA
Molecule: ribosomal RNA, 325 nt
Filed under: Mesobuthus haarlovi
Lineage: Eukaryota; Metazoa; Arthropoda; Arachnida; Scorpiones; Buthidae
Description: partial large subunit ribosomal RNA
Rfam family: Archaeal large subunit ribosomal RNA
Source: RNAcentral